AGGAUGAACGCUGGCGGCGUGCCUAAUACAUGCAAGUCGAACGGUAAGGCUUUCACUCUGUAUUUGAAGUUUCGAAUAUAGUGUGAAAGUACACGAGUGGCGGACGGCUGAGUAACGCAUGGGAACGUACCCCAAAGUGAGGGAUAAGCACCGGAAACGGUGUCUAAUACCGCAUGUGCUCUUCGGAGUAAAGCUUUAUGCGCUUUGGGAACGGCCUGUGUACGAUUAGAUAGUUGGUGAGGUAAUGGCUCACCAAGUCUACGAUCGUUAGCUGGUCUGAGAGGAUGACCAGCCAGACUGGAACUGAGACACGGUCCAGAUUCCUACGGGAGGCAGCAGUAAGGAAUCUUCCACAAUGGCGAAAGCCUGAU
RNAcentral lists this ribosomal RNA (371 nucleotides) under uncultured soil bacterium. RNAcentral's name for it is "bacterial SSU rRNA". It matches the Rfam family "Bacterial small subunit ribosomal RNA", at positions 26 to 387 of the family's 1533-position model. The record is from RNAcentral.